RNAcentral lists this small RNA (953 nucleotides) under Pongo abelii (Sumatran orangutan). RNAcentral's name for it is "retained intron". Lineage: Eukaryota; Metazoa; Chordata; Mammalia; Primates; Hominidae. The record is from RNAcentral.
GCAGUGCGGCUGAGCGCCUCGGAGCCCGCGGGGACGCUGCGGGGGGACCCGUGCUGAGGCGGCGGCGGCGGCGACGUGGGCUGCGGCGGGCCCGCGGCGUCGGGCGGUGCGGAUGUCGGGCUGGGCGGACGAGCGCGGCGGCGAGGGCGACGGGCGCAUCUACGUGGGGAACCUUCCGACCGACGUGCGCGAGAAGGACUUGGAGGACCUGUUCUACAAGUACGGCCGCAUCCGCGAGAUCGAGCUCAAGAACCGGCACGGCCUCGUGCCCUUCGCCUUCGUGCGCUUCGAGGACCCCCGAGAUGCAGAGGAUGCUAUUUAUGGAAGAAAUGGUUAUGAUUAUGGCCAGUGUCGGCUUCGUGUGGAGUUCCCCAGGACUUAUGGAGGUCGGGGUGGGUGGCCCCGUGGUGGGAGGAAUGGGCCUCCUACAAGAAGAUCUGAUUUCCGAGUUCUUGUUUCAGGUAUGUUCCUUUCAAACAGAAUGAGAUGAUACAUGUAAAAUACUUAACACAGAGUCUGUCUUCCAAGAAAUGAUAGUUGUUAUUCUUCAGUGCAUGGGACACGGGGGCUUUCUUUUCAAUAGCCUGUGUGAAGCCUUGCCCUGGAUUGCCAAUGAGGCAAGUAUCCUGCAAAUGAAAUUGUGUUGGGAGUGCAGCCUUGGAAGAACAUAACCAUAUUUCUUGUAAAGGAGUUUUCUAGUGGUGAGAAGGAAAGAUGAUGGGAAAACUCCUUGAGCUACAAUUCUAAAGAUGCUUCUUUUGGAAUAUACUUGGCAUCAGACAUGGUAGAAAGGCAUUCAAGGAGCCAGAUUUGAACAACUUACCCAGACUUGGAUCCUGAAGAAGAUCAGAUUUUGUGGUGGUUUUAGAAUUAAAAUAUUUUUUAAAACCCCGUAACUUAAGAGUCUUAGAGAUUUUAUUGGAAAGUAUAGACUAUUUCUGUCUAGUGUUUAU